Molecule: ribosomal RNA, 253 nt
Filed under: uncultured bacterium
Lineage: Bacteria
Description: partial 16S ribosomal RNA
Rfam family: Bacterial small subunit ribosomal RNA
Source: RNAcentral
UACGAAGGUGGCAAGCGUUGUUCGGAUUUACUGGGCGUAAAGAGUGCGUAGGCGGUUUGACAAGUCAGGAGUGAAAUCCCGGGGCUCAACCCCGGAAUUGCUUUUGAAACUGUUUUACUUGAAUCCGGUAGAGGUUGGCGGAAUUCUCAGUGUAGAGGUGAAAUUCGCAGAUAUUGAGAGGAACACCAGUGGCGUAAGCGGCCAACUGGACCGGUAUUGACGCUGAGGCACGAAAGUAUGGGUAGCAAACAGG